GAUGAAGAACGCAGCGAAAUGCGAUAAGUAGUGUGAAUUGCAGAAUUCAGUGAAUCAUCGAAUCUUUGAACGCACAUUGCGCCCCUUGGUAUCCCGAGGGGCAUGCCUGUUCGAGCGUCAUUUCACCACUCAAGCCUGGCUUGGUGUUGGGCGACGUCCUCUUUGGGGACGCGCCUCGAAACGCUCGGCGGCGUGGCACCGGCUUUAAGCGUAGCAGAAUCUUUCGCUUUGGAAGUCGGGGCCCCGUCUGCCGGAAGACCUGCUCGCAAGGUUGACCUCGGAUCAGGCAGGAAUACCCGCUGAACUUAAGCAUAUCAAUAAGCGGAGGA
This 329-nucleotide unclassified non-coding RNA is filed under the name soil metagenome. Its description in RNAcentral is "partial contains 5.8S ribosomal RNA, internal transcribed spacer 2, and large subunit ribosomal RNA". The stretch from base 1 to 120 matches the Rfam family "5.8S ribosomal RNA", at positions 35 to 154 of the family's 154-position model. The record is from RNAcentral.